Molecule: ribosomal RNA, 484 nt
Filed under: uncultured bacterium
Lineage: Bacteria
Description: partial 16S ribosomal RNA
Rfam family: Bacterial small subunit ribosomal RNA
Source: RNAcentral
GACGAACGCUGGCGGCGUGCUUAACACAUGCAAGUCGAACGAUGAAGCCGGAGCUUGCUCUGGUGAAUUAGUGGCGAACGGGUGAGUAACACGUGAGUAACCUGCCCUUGACUCUGGGAUAACUGCUAGAAAUGGUAGCUAAUACCGGAUACGACCCUCGGCGGCAUCGCCAGGGGGUGGAAAGAAUUUCGGUCAAGGAUGGACUCGCGACCUAUCAGCUAGUUGGUGAGGUAACGGCUCACCAAGGCGACGACGGGUAGCCGGCCUGAGAGGGUGACCGGCCACACUGGGACUGAGACACGGCCCAGACCCCUACGGGAGGCAGCAGUGGGGAAUAUUGCACAAUGGGCGCAAGCCUGAUGCAGCAACGCCGCGUGAGGGAUGACGGCCUUCGGGUUGUAAACCUCUUUUAGUAGGGAAGAAGCGAAAGUGACGGUACCUGCAGAAAAAGCACCGGCUAACUACGUGCCAGCCGCCGCAGUAA